GACGAACGCUGGCGGCGUGCCUAAUACAUGCAAGUAGAACGCUGAAGCUUGGUGCUUGCGCCGAGCGGAUGAGUUGCGAACGGGUGAGUAACGCGUAGGUAACCUGCCUGGUAGCGGGGGAUAACUAUUGGAAACGAUAGCUAAUACCGCAUGAUAUUGAUUAUUGCAUGAUAGUCAAUUAAAAGGUGCAAUUGCAUCACUACCAGAUGGACCUGCGUUGUAUUAGCUAGUUGGUGAGGUAACGGCUCACCAAGGCAACGAUACAUAGCCGACCUGAGAGGGUGAUCGGCCACACUGGGACUGAGACACGGCCCAGACUCCUACGGGAGGCAGCAGUAGGGAAUCUUCGGCAAUGGACGGAAGUCUGACCGAGCAACGCCGCGUGAGUGAAGAAGGUUUUCGGAUCGUAAAGCUCUGUUGUAAGAGAAGAACGAGUGUGAGAGUGGAAAGUUCACACUGUGACGGUAUCUUACCAGAAAGGGACGGCUAACUACGUGCCAGCAGCCGCGGUAAUACGUAGGUCCCGAGCGUUGUCCGGAUUUAUUGGGCGUAAAGCGAGCGCAGGCGGUUAGAUAAGUCCGAAGUUAAAGGCUGUGGCUUAACCAUAGUACGCUUUGGAAACUGUUUAACUUGAGUGCAAGAGGGGAGAGUGGAAUUCCAUGUGUAGCGGUGAAAUGCGUAGAUAUAUGGAGGAACACCGGUGGCGAAAGCGGCUCUCUGGCUUGUAACUGACGCUGAGGCUCGAAAGCGUGGGGAGCAAACAGG
RNAcentral lists this ribosomal RNA (765 nucleotides) under uncultured Streptococcus sp. Its description in RNAcentral is "bacterial SSU rRNA". It matches the Rfam family "Bacterial small subunit ribosomal RNA", at positions 28 to 776 of the family's 1533-position model. Lineage: Bacteria; Bacillati; Bacillota; Bacilli; Lactobacillales; Streptococcaceae. The record is from RNAcentral.